GGGUUUGUAGUCUAACGGCUUAGGACAUCGCCCUCACACGGCGAAAACAGGAGUUCGACUCUCCUCAAACCCA
RNAcentral lists this transfer RNA (73 nucleotides) under Candidatus Aenigmarchaeota archaeon CG1_02_38_14. RNAcentral's name for it is "tRNA-Val". It matches the Rfam family "tRNA". Rfam says of the family: Transfer RNA (tRNA) molecules are approximately 80 nucleotides in length. The record is from RNAcentral. Lineage: Archaea; Nanobdellati; Candidatus Aenigmatarchaeota. RNAcentral also lists the same sequence under 7 other names.